AUACGUAGGGGGCGAGCGUUGUCCGGAAUGAUUGGGCGUAAAGGGCGCGUAGGCGGCCCGGUAAGUCUGGAGUGAAAGUCCUGUUUUUAAGAUGGGAAUUGCUUUGGAUACUGUCGGGCUUGAGUGCAGGAGAGGUAAGUGGAAUUCCCAGUGUAGCGGUGAAAUGCGUAGAGAUUGGGAGGAACACCAGUGGCGCAGGCGACUUACUGGACUGUAACUGACGCUGAGGCGCGAAAGUGUGGGGAGCAAACAGGAUUAGAUGCCCUGGUAGUCCACACUGUAAACGAUGAAUGCUAGGUGUAGGGGGUAUCGACCCCUUCUGUGCCGCAGUCAACACAAUAAGCAUACCGCCUGGGGAGUACGGCCGCAAGGUUGAAACUCAAAGGAAUUGACGGGG
RNAcentral lists this ribosomal RNA (397 nucleotides) under uncultured bacterium. RNAcentral's name for it is "partial 16S ribosomal RNA". It matches the Rfam family "Bacterial small subunit ribosomal RNA", at positions 523 to 918 of the family's 1533-position model. The record is from RNAcentral.